UACGGAAGGCAGCAGUGGGGAAUAUUGCACAAUGGGCGCAAGCCUGAUGCAGCCAUGCCGCGUGUAUGAAGAAGGCCUUCGGGUUGUAAAGUACUUUCAGCGGGGAGGAAGGCGGUGAAGUUAAUAGCUUCACCGAUUGACGUUACCCGCAGAAGAAGCACCGGCUAACUCCGUGCCAGCAGCCGCGGUAAUACGGAGGGUGCAAGCGUUAAUCGGAAUUACUGGGCGUAAAGCGCACGCAGGCGGUCUGUCAAGUCGGAUGUGAAAUCCCCGGGCUUAACCUGGGAACUGCAUUCGAAACUGGCAGGCUAGAGUCUUGUAGAGGGGGUAGAAUUCCAGGUGUAGCGGUGAAAUGCGUAGAGAUCUGGAGGAAUACCGGUGGCGAAGGCGGCCCCUGGGACAAAGACUGACGCUCAGGGUGCGAAAGCGUGGGGAGCAAACAGGGAUUAGAUACC
This 455-nucleotide ribosomal RNA is filed under the name uncultured bacterium. Its description in RNAcentral is "bacterial SSU rRNA". It matches the Rfam family "Bacterial small subunit ribosomal RNA", at positions 340 to 786 of the family's 1533-position model. The record is from RNAcentral.